GGAGAUUCACGUCUUCUCGCGGGUUCGACGCAUCCAUUCCUCUUCGACGACCCUGCCCCCGUUCGGACUCGUCCGGUGCGUGGCGGUGGGGUUGCAGAGGGUGGUGUGGAGGCCCGCGGCGGACCGCACUUCUCCCUUAGUAGGACGUCGUGACCCGUCCGGUCAUGGUCAUAAGGGUGCAGGGUGGAGCCUGGCCGAUCGUGCUUGCACGUCUUCGGUCAGACCCCCGCGCCCCGGCCAUGAAUUUCGGUCGGUAUCGAAUGACAGUGUUAGGUCACUUACCGGGGGAGGCAACUCCUUCCAGUGAGUGCGUGUGGCUCUCGACAAGGUGCUGGGAUGUCGGUCAAGGCGGGCUCCCGUCCGUCUGGCCCCGCUCGGCCCUGUUGGUCUUGCUGCUCUCACGCUGGCCUAUCUACACUCGUCUACGGCGAAUCAGUUUUGGGCUCUUGUCCGACCCGUCUUGAAACACGGACCAAGGAGUUCAGCGUGUACGCGAGUCAUUGGGUGGUAAAACCCAAAGGCGUAAUGAAAGUGAAGGGAACUUUACGUUUCUGAGGGAGGAUGAGUCGGUUACCCGCAACGGGGCUGCUCCGCACUCCCGGGGCGUCUCUUUCUCAUUGCGAGUGGAGGCGCACCCAGAGCGUACACGCUGAUACCCGAAAGAUGGUGAACUAUGCCUGGCCAGGACGAAGCCAGGGGAAACCCUGGUGGAGGUCCGCAGCGAUUCUGACGUGCAAAUCGAUCGUCGGAGCUGGGUAUAGGGGCGAAAGACCAAUCGAACCAUCCGGGGGCUCGGAUCAGAGUGCCAAGUGGGCCAAUUUUGGUAAGCAGAACUGGCGCUGUGGGAUGAACCAAACGUCGAGUUAAGGCGCCCAAAUCGACGCUCAUGUGAAACCAUGAAAGGCGUUGGUUGCUUAAGACAGCAGGACGGUGGCCAUGGAAGUCGGAAUCCGCUAAGGAGUGUGUAACAACUCACCUGCCGAAGCAACUAGCCCUGAAAAUGGAUGGCGCUGUAGCGUCGUGCCUAUACUCGACCGUCAACGGCAAAGAUGGCUGGCGGGCAACCGUCGGCCGUUACGCCUUGACGAGUAGGAGGGCCGCGGCGGCGUGCGUAGAAGGGUCUGGGCGCGAGCCUGCCUGGAGCCGCCGUCGGUGCAGAUCUUGGUGGUAGUAGCAAAUACUCCAGCGAGGCCCUGGAGGACUGAUGUGGAGAAGGGUUUCUUGUGAACAGCUGUUGCACAAGAGUCAGUCGGUCCUAAGCCCUAGGAGAAAUCCGAAGCGAUGGGUUGCCGUUAAUGUCAUCAAACAACAUGAAGGCACCCGUUUGGGCGAAAGGGAAUCCGGUUCCUAUUCCGGAACCUGGCAGUGGAACCGUUCCAAUUCGGGCCCUCUGAGGACUCGUCAGGGCAACCUGAAUAGACCCGGAGACGCCGACAGGAGGUUGGGGGAGAGUUGUCUCUUCUCUAUAAGCGAUCGAGUUCCCUGGAAACUUCUAGCAAGGAGAUAGGGUUUGGAUCGCGAAGAGCACUGCAGUUACGGCAGUGUCCCAAUCUUCCUCUCGGGACCUUGAAAAUCCGGGUGAGGGCCACGAGGAACCACACGCCAGAACGUACCCCUAUUCGCAGCAGGUCUCCACGGUGGCAAGACCUCUAUUCGAUAGAAUAAUGUAAGUAAAGGGAAAGUC
This 1684-nucleotide ribosomal RNA is filed under the name Spinivesica sp. Msp059. RNAcentral describes it as "partial large subunit ribosomal RNA". The stretch from base 389 to 1684 matches the Rfam family "Eukaryotic large subunit ribosomal RNA", at positions 1 to 1915 of the family's 3401-position model. The record is from RNAcentral. Lineage: Eukaryota; Metazoa; Arthropoda; Insecta; Hemiptera; Miridae.